Molecule: ribosomal RNA, 464 nt
Filed under: Vreelandella stevensii
Lineage: Bacteria; Pseudomonadati; Pseudomonadota; Gammaproteobacteria; Oceanospirillales; Halomonadaceae
Description: partial 16S ribosomal RNA
Rfam family: Bacterial small subunit ribosomal RNA
Source: RNAcentral
CCUACGGGUGGCUGCAGUGGGGAAUAUUGGACAAUGGGCGAAAGCCUGAUCCAGCCAUGCCGCGUGUGUGAAGAAGGCCUUCGGGUUGUAAAGCACUUUCAGUGGGGAAGAAAGCCUUGGGGCUAAUACCCUCGAGGAAGGACAUCACCCACAGAAGAAGCACCGGCUAACUCCGUGCCAGCAGCCGCGGUAAUACGGAGGGUGCGAGCGUUAAUCGGAAUUACUGGGCGUAAAGCGCGCGUAGGCGGUCUGAUAAGCCGGUUGUGAAAGCCCCGGGCUCAACCUGGGAACGGCAUCCGGAACUGUCAGGCUAGAGUGCAGGAGAGGAAGGUAGAAUUCCCGGUGUAGCGGUGAAAUGCGUAGAGAUCGGGAGGAAUACCAGUGGCGAAGGCGGCCUUCUGGACUGACACUGACGCAGAGGUGCGAAAGCGUGGGUAGCAAACAGGAUUAGAUACCCCAGUAGU